Molecule: ribosomal RNA, 254 nt
Filed under: uncultured soil bacterium
Lineage: Bacteria
Description: partial 16S ribosomal RNA
Rfam family: Bacterial small subunit ribosomal RNA
Source: RNAcentral
AGGACGAACGCUGGCGGCGUGCUUAACACAUGCAAGUCACGGGGGGUCCCGCAAGGGAUAACCGGCGAACGGGUGCGUAACACGUGAGCAACCUGCCUUUGUGUGGGGGAUAGCCGGGCUAACGCCCGGGUAAUACCGCAUACGGUCAUUUGGGGGAGUCCCUAGAUGAAGAAACCUCCGGGGCACAGAGAGGGGCUCGCGGCCUAUCAGCUAGUUGGCGGGGUAAUGGCCCACCAAGGCGACGACGGGUAGCU